RNAcentral lists this long non-coding RNA (1121 nucleotides) under Cavia porcellus (domestic guinea pig). RNAcentral describes it as "lncRNA (ENSCPOG00000038336.1)". Lineage: Eukaryota; Metazoa; Chordata; Mammalia; Rodentia; Caviidae. The record is from RNAcentral.
CCUUUUUUUUAAUCUUUGAAAUAAAAUGGAUUUGGAGAAAAAGAAAAAAAGGCUGGGGUAAAACCCUUUAGUGCACAUACCCGUCAGACGAGCUGAAGUCAACAUUGCAGAACACAGCCACCUCCAGAAAUCUCCACAAUCUUUCCUUGGGGAUCCACAGUUACAAGGUGGAGUUUGCUUCUGUAAUUAUUCUUGGUGGGGAAGCUGGGCAGAAGAGUAGGAGCCAAUCAGUGCUGAAGAGGCGGGCUGUAUGAACUGUCCAAUCAGGCGGGCCAAGGUAGGCGGUCUCUUCCUGUGUCUUGGCGUCUACUGUGUGUCGGGGGAAGAGCUUGAUGUUUGCUGGACCGCAUUUUGUGGCUUCUAUUCGCUGUGGACUGCUUAGAAAGAACUGGGAGACCUCCGAAAUACGCAAUGGUCAGCAGAGGUGCUGGCCCCUGCCAACCUGGGUAUGGGGGUGUUUUGAAAGAAAUGGAACCAACACAGCCAAAGCAACUUGAAGAGAAACAGUAGGGGACAGCAGAGAGGAGAAGUCAGCUUUGGUAAGUGGUAAAACAAUUGUCAGUACAUCAGUGCCUAGGAGUAUAAAUACUCGGGUAUGUCCUCCAGAGAUGACAGGAAAUAACAUGAUAAUGGGAAAUAAGUAGUACUAGGCAAGUGGGGUAAAUGUAAGUAAGGAGAGAAGGCAGCUCUUGGGGCUCAAUCCAUCAUAACUGUGGUGAGUGUGUCAGCCAUGCUCUGAAGGGUCUGCUGAGGAGGAGGGAAUCAGAGAUCACCUCAGCAGGAACCGUGUGACCCCGUAAAGCAUCAAACAGAGGAGCCAAUUGUUGAGUGGUCAAAGGAAAGUAGAGCCUUGCCCAAUUAAAGUAGAGACAGCAGAAGCGGGGCACACCUGGGAGGACUUGGAAGUCAGCCAUGUGGCAAUCUGUUUCUUUGCUUGCCAAAGGUGGCAUCAGCAUCCCAGCAGAGAUGCCAGGUGUGCAGGACAGAGAUGGGAGCUUGAGGCCCCGCAUGUAUCAGUUUGCUAUCUUUUCCCAAUCCUCCAUAAUAAGUGUACCUCCCUUAGGAUAGCAAGGACAAUAAUUGUCAAUUUCUUACAAAAGUUGUACUAAAUUACACUCCCC